RNAcentral lists this ribosomal RNA (2324 nucleotides) under Escherichia coli. Its description in RNAcentral is "partial 23S ribosomal RNA". It matches the Rfam family "Bacterial large subunit ribosomal RNA", at positions 612 to 2915 of the family's 2925-position model. The record is from RNAcentral. Lineage: Bacteria; Pseudomonadati; Pseudomonadota; Gammaproteobacteria; Enterobacterales; Enterobacteriaceae.
AUAAUGGGUCAGCGACUUAUAUUCUGUAGCAAGGUUAACCGAAUAGGGGAGCCGAAGGGAAACCGAGUCUUAACUGGGCGUUAAGUUGCAGGGUAUAGACCCGAAACCCGGUGAUCUAGCCAUGGGCAGGUUGAAGGUUGGGUAACACUAACUGGAGGACCGAACCGACUAAUGUUGAAAAAUUAGCGGAUGACUUGUGGCUGGGGGUGAAAGGCCAAUCAAACCGGGAGAUAGCUGGUUCUCCCCGAAAGCUAUUUAGGUAGCGCCUCGUGAAUUCAUCUCCGGGGGUAGAGCACUGUUUCGGCAAGGGGGUCAUCCCGACUUACCAACCCGAUGCAAACUGCGAAUACCGGAGAAUGUUAUCACGGGAGACACACGGCGGGUGCUAACGUCCGUCGUGAAGAGGGAAACAACCCAGACCGCCAGCUAAGGUCCCAAAGUCAUGGUUAAGUGGGAAACGAUGUGGGAAGGCCCAGACAGCCAGGAUGUUGGCUUAGAAGCAGCCAUCAUUUAAAGAAAGCGUAAUAGCUCACUGGUCGAGUCGGCCUGCGCGGAAGAUGUAACGGGGCUAAACCAUGCACCGAAGCUGCGGCAGCGACGCUUAUGCGUUGUUGGGUAGGGGAGCGUUCUGUAAGCCUGUGAAGGUGUACUGUGAGGUAUGCUGGAGGUAUCAGAAGUGCGAAUGCUGACAUAAGUAACGAUAAAGCGGGUGAAAAGCCCGCUCGCCGGAAGACCAAGGGUUCCUGUCCAACGUUAAUCGGGGCAGGGUGAGUCGACCCCUAAGGCGAGGCCGAAAGGCGUAGUCGAUGGGAAACAGGUUAAUAUUCCUGUACUUGGUGUUACUGCGAAGGGGGGACGGAGAAGGCUAUGUUGGCCGGGCGACGGUUGUCCCGGUUUAAGCGUGUAGGCUGGUUUUCCAGGCAAAUCCGGAAAAUCAAGGCUGAGGCGUGAUGACGAGGCACUACGGUGCUGAAGCAACAAAUGCCCUGCUUCCAGGAAAAGCCUCUAAGCAUCAGGUAACAUCAAAUCGUACCCCAAACCGACACAGGUGGUCAGGUAGAGAAUACCAAGGCGCUUGAGAGAACUCGGGUGAAGGAACUAGGCAAAAUGGUGCCGUAACUUCGGGAGAAGGCACGCUGAUAUGUAGGUGAAGCGACUUGCUCGUGGAGCUGAAAUCAGUCGAAGAUACCAGCUGGCUGCAACUGUUUAUUAAAAACACAGCACUGUGCAAACACGAAAGUGGACGUAUACGGUGUGACGCCUGCCCGGUGCCGGAAGGUUAAUUGAUGGGGUCAGCGCAAGCGAAGCUCUUGAUCGAAGCCCCGGUAAACGGCGGCCGUAACUAUAACGGUCCUAAGGUAGCGAAAUUCCUUGUCGGGUAAGUUCCGACCUGCACGAAUGGCGUAAUGAUGGCCAGGCUGUCUCCACCCGAGACUCAGUGAAAUUGAACUCGCUGUGAAGAUGCAGUGUACCCGCGGCAAGACGGAAAGACCCCGUGAACCUUUACUAUAGCUUGACACUGAACAUUGAGCCUUGAUGUGUAGGAUAGGUGGGAGGCUUUGAAGUGUGGACGCCAGUCUGCAUGGAGCCGACCUUGAAAUACCACCCUUUAAUGUUUGAUGUUCUAACGUUGACCCGUAAUCCGGGUUGCGGACAGUGUCUGGUGGGUAGUUUGACUGGGGCGGUCUCCUCCUAAAGAGUAACGGAGGAGCACGAAGGUUGGCUAAUCCUGGUCGGACAUCAGGAGGUUAGUGCAAUGGCAUAAGCCAGCUUGACUGCGAGCGUGACGGCGCGAGCAGGUGCGAAAGCAGGUCAUAGUGAUCCGGUGGUUCUGAAUGGAAGGGCCAUCGCUCAACGGAUAAAAGGUACUCCGGGGAUAACAGGCUGAUACCGCCCAAGAGUUCAUAUCGACGGCGGUGUUUGGCACCUCGAUGUCGGCUCAUCACAUCCUGGGGCUGAAGUAGGUCCCAAGGGUAUGGCUGUUCGCCAUUUAAAGUGGUACGCGAGCUGGGUUUAGAACGUCGUGAGACAGUUCGGUCCCUAUCUGCCGUGGGCGCUGGAGAACUGAGGGGGGCUGCUCCUAGUACGAGAGGACCGGAGUGGACGCAUCACUGGUGUUCGGGUUGUCAUGCCAAUGGCACUGCCCGGUAGCUAAAUGCGGAAGAGAUAAGUGCUGAAAGCAUCUAAGCACGAAACUUGCCCCGAGAUGAGUUCUCCCUGACUCCUUGAGAGUCCUGAAGGAACGUUGAAGACGACGACGUUGAUAGGCCGGGUGUGUAAGCGCAGCGAUGCGUUGAGCUAACCGGUACUAAUGAACCGUGAGG